GCAAGUCGAACGGAAACGAUAGUAGCUUGCUAUUAGGCGUCGAGUGGCGGACGGGUGAGUAACGCGUGGGUAUCUGCCCAGUCGCGGGGGAUAAGCCAGGGAAACUUGGUCUAAUACCGCAUACGCCCUACGGGGGAAAGGCUUCGGCCACGAUUGGAUGAGCCCGCGUUAGAUUAGCUAGUUGGUAAGGUAAUGGCUUACCAAGGCGACGAUCUAUAGCUGGUCUGAGAGGAUGACC
Molecule: ribosomal RNA, 238 nt
Filed under: uncultured bacterium
Lineage: Bacteria
Description: partial 16S ribosomal RNA
Rfam family: Bacterial small subunit ribosomal RNA
Source: RNAcentral